Molecule: non-coding RNA, 603 nt
Organism: Microcebus murinus (gray mouse lemur)
Lineage: Eukaryota; Metazoa; Chordata; Mammalia; Primates; Cheirogaleidae
Source: RefSeq, a predicted model, not a curated record
CAUUGUCACCCUACUGUGUGUUCCUGUGCCUUAAUUUCCUUUUCUUAUAAGAACACCAGUCAUAUUGGGUUAGGACCCACUCACAUGACUCAUUUAAUUUUAAUUGCCUCUGUAAAGACCAUAUUUUCAACUAGGAUACUGAGGAUUAGGACUUUAUGAUAUGAAUUUUGGGAGAAUACAAGGCAACCCAUGAAAGUAUUGAAGAGUAUAAUACAUUUUUCUAGAUACAGAGCCAAGAACCCUAAUGGAAGCAGAGACUCCAGCUAAACGAUCCACCACGUCACCGUAGCCACACUGUUUUUACUAUCACCUUUGUUCAGGUUUUGCAGAUGUAACUGCUAUGCCAUCAAUAUGGGUACCACUCUGGCGCUGGGUGCUGCGGGAGGAGGCUGUGUGUGUUUGUGUUGCAAGAACAUCUUGGCCUGGACCCCCUGCCAAGACAAAGCAGGAAGAUGCCCGGGAUGCAAAACACCCUGCCUCGACCCCUAGAGACAGACAACAACAACAGCUAGCCCCCUAUAAAAGCUAACUCUCAGUCCUGGGCUGCGCGACUUCUGGGGCCCCUGCUCUGGGACCCUUGAAUCUUGCCCGGAAGUGCUUUCA